UUGUUCAUAAUUGAUCUAAAACUUAAUUUCUACAAAACUCUAGAUCUGAAACUAUAGGAUUUAUUUGCAUGAAACUCUGAAAUUAUGGCUGGCAUGCUUGUCGAGUCGACUCGAAGUCAGUUCGAGUCGACUCAAGUCUUUGAUGAGUCGACUCAUGCUUAUUGGAGUCUACUUGAGAUCCUGGUUAGUGGGCUCAUUUGCAUAUGAGUCGACUCAAUCCUGCGGC
RNAcentral lists this long non-coding RNA (226 nucleotides) under Elaeis guineensis (African oil palm). RNAcentral's name for it is "long non-coding RNA (EGUI_LNC032685)". Lineage: Eukaryota; Viridiplantae; Streptophyta; Magnoliopsida; Arecales; Arecaceae. The record is from RNAcentral.